AUUGAACGCUGGCGGCAGGCCUAACACAUGCAAGUCGAGCGGCAGCGGAAAGUAGCUUGCUACUUUGCCGGCGAGCGGCGGACGGGUGAGUAAUGUCUGGGAAACUGCCUGAUGGAGGGGGAUAACUACUGGAAACGGUAGCUAAUACCGCAUAACGUCGCAAGACCAAAGAGGGGGACCUUCGGGCCUCUUGCCAUCAGAUGUGCCCAGAUGGGAUUAGCUAGUAGGUGGGGUAAUGGCUCACCUAGGCGACGAUCCCUAGCUGGUCUGAGAGGAUGACCAGCCACACUGGAACUGAGACACGGUCCAGACUCCUACGGGAGGCAGCAGUGGGGAAUAUUGCACAAUGGGCGCAAGCCUGAUGCAGCCAGGCCGCGUGUGUGAAGAAGGCCUUCGGGUUGUAAAGUACUUUCAGCGGGGAGGAAGGUGCUGAGGUUAAUAACCUCAGCAAUUGACGUUACCCGCAGAAGAAGCACCGGCUAACUCCGUGCCAGCAGCCGCCGUAA
Molecule: ribosomal RNA, 506 nt
Filed under: uncultured bacterium
Lineage: Bacteria
Description: partial 16S ribosomal RNA
Rfam family: Bacterial small subunit ribosomal RNA
Source: RNAcentral